Molecule: non-coding RNA, 2102 nt
Organism: Thioclava atlantica
Lineage: Bacteria; Pseudomonadati; Pseudomonadota; Alphaproteobacteria; Rhodobacterales; Paracoccaceae
Source: Rfam
GAGGUAACACUCACUGGAGGGCCGAACCCACACCUGUUGAAAAAGGUCGGGAUGACGUGUGGCUAGGGGUGAAAGGCCAAUCAAACUCGGAGAUAGCUGGUUCUCCGCGAAAGCUAUUUAGGUAGCGCGUCGAUUGUAUUCUCCCGGGGGUAGAGCACUGCAUGGAUGAUGGGGGCCCACAGCCUUACUGAGUCUAAGCAAACUCCGAAUACCGGGAAGAACUGAUCGGCAGACACACGGCGGGUGCUAACGUCCGUCGUGGAGAGGGAAACAACCCUGACCAACAGCUAAGGCCCCCAAUUCGUGGCUAAGUGGGAAAGCAUGUGGGACUUCCAAAACAACCAGGAGGUUGGCUUAGAAGCAGCCAUCCUUUAAAGAUAGCGUAACAGCUCACUGGUCUAGUUAAGAGGUCCUGCGGCGAAGAUGUAACGGGGCUCAAGCCACGAGCCGAAGCUUUGGAUGCGCAGUGAUGCGCGUGGUAGCGGAGCGUUCUGUGAUAUAGAACGCUGCCUCCUUACGCUCUUCGGAGCUAUUGGAGGCAAUGUUCUGACUGUGAAGCCGGGCUGUAAGGCAUCCGGUGGAGUGAUCAGAAGUGAGAAUGUUGACAUGAGUAGCGACAAACAGGGUGAGAGACCCUGUCGCCGAAAGUCCAAGGGUUCCUGCUUAAAGCUAAUCUGAGCAGGGUAAGCCGACCCCUAAGGCGAGGCCGAAAGGCGUAGUCGAUGGGAACCAGGUUAAUAUUCCUGGGCCAUGUGGUGGUGACGGAUCGCGAGGGUAGUUCUUCCUUAUCGGAUUGGAAGGGCUGCUUAGCGGUUCCUGGAAAUAGCCCCACUUUAAGAUCGUACCCGAAACCGACACAGGUGGACUGGUAGAGAAUACCAAGGCGCUUGAGAGAACCACGUUUAAGGAACUCGGCAAAAUGCCUCCGUAAGUUCGCGAGAAGGAGGCCCCAUUCGCACGCAAGUGUGGGUGGGGGGCACAAACUAGGGGGUGGCGACUGUUUACUUAAAACACAGGGCUGUGCGAAGCCGUAAGGCGACGUAUACAGUCUGACGCCUGCCCGGUGCCGGAAGGUUAAAAGGAGGUGUGCAAGCACCGAAUUGAAGCCCCGGUAAACGGCGGCCGUAACUAUAACGGUCCUAAGGUAGCGAAAUUCCUUGUCGGGUAAGUUCCGACCUGCACGAAUGGCGUAACGAUCUCCCCGCUGUCUCAAACGUGGACUCAGCGAAAUUGAACUGUGUGUCAAGAUGCACACUACCCGCGGUUAGACGGAAAGACCCCAUGAACCUUUACUAUAGCUUCGCACUGGCAUCAGGCAUGUGAUGUGCAGGAUAGGUGGUAGGCUUUGAAACGGGAACGCCAGUUUCCGUGGAGCCAUCCUUGAGAUACCACCCUUCGCCUGCUUGAUGUCUAACCGCGGCCCGUUAUCCGGGUCCGGGACCCUGCGUGGUGGGUAGUUUGACUGGGGCGGUCGCCUCCCAAAGUGUAACGGAGGCGCGCGAAGGUUGGCUCAGACCGGUCGGAAAUCGGUCGUUGAGUGCAAUGGCAGAAGCCAGCCUGACUGCAAGACUGACAAGUCGAGCAGAGACGAAAGUCGGCCAUAGUGAUCCGGUGGUCCCGAGUGGAAGGGCCAUCGCUCAACGGAUAAAAGGUACUCUGGGGAUAACAGGCUGAUGGUGCCCAAGAGUCCAUAUCGACGGCACCGUUUGGCACCUCGAUGUCGGCUCAUCUCAUCCUGGGGCUGGAGCAGGUCCCAAGGGUAUGGCUGUUCGCCAUUUAAAGAGGUACGUGAGCUGGGUUUAGAACGUCGUGAGACAGUUCGGUCCCUAUCUGCCGUGGGUGUAGGAUACUUGAGAGGAGUUGCCCCUAGUACGAGAGGACCGGGGUGAACGGACCACUGGUGGACCAGUUAUCGUGCCAACGGUAGUGCUGGGUAGCUAUGUCCGGACAGGAUAACCGCUGAAGGCAUCUAAGCGGGAAGCCCCCCUCAAAACCAGGUAUCCCUUGAGGGCCGUGGAAGACCACCACGUCGAUAGGCUGGAGAUGUAAGCGCGGCAACGCGUUCAGUUGACCAGUACUAAUUGCCCGAUUGGCUUGAUUUG